GAUGAACGCUAGCUACAGGCUUAACACAUGCAAGUCGAGGGGAAACGGCAUUAAGUGCUUGCACUUUUUGGACGUCGACCGGCGCACGGGUGAGUAACGCGUAUCCAACCUUCCCAUGACUAAGGGAUAACCUGCCGAAAGGCAGACUAAUACCUUAUGGUCUUCACUGACGGCAUCAGAUGUGAAGUAAAGAUUUAUCGGUUAUGGAUGGGGAUGCGUCUGAUUAGCUUGUUGGCGGGGUAACGGCCCGCCAAGGCAACGAUCAGUAGGGGUUCUGAGAGGAAGGUCCCCCACAUUGGAACUGAGACACGGUCCAAACUCCUACGGGAGGCAGCAGUGAGGAAUAUUGGUCAAUGGGCGAGAGCCUGAACCAGCCAAGUAGCGUGCAGGAUGACGGCCCUAUGGGUUGUAAACUGCUUUUGUAUGGGGAUAAAGUCAGUCACGUGUGAUUGUUUGCAGGUACCAUACGAAUAAGGACCGGCUAAUUCCGUGCCAGCAGCCGCGGUAAUACGGAAGGUCCGGGCGUUAUCCGGAUUUAUUGGGUUUAAAGGGAGCGUAGGCUGGAGAUUAAGUGUGUUGUGAAAUGUAGACGCUCAACGUCUGACUUGCAGCGCAUACUGGUUUCCUUGAGUACGCACAACGUUGGCGGAAUUCGUCGUGUAGCGGUGAAAUGCUUAGAUAUGACGAAGAACUCCGAUUGCGAAGGCAGCUGACGGGAGCGCAACUGACGCUGAAGCUCGAAGGUGCGGGUAUCGAACAGG
RNAcentral lists this ribosomal RNA (761 nucleotides) under Prevotella melaninogenica. Its description in RNAcentral is "bacterial SSU rRNA". It matches the Rfam family "Bacterial small subunit ribosomal RNA", at positions 28 to 776 of the family's 1533-position model. The record is from RNAcentral. Lineage: Bacteria; Pseudomonadati; Bacteroidota; Bacteroidia; Bacteroidales; Prevotellaceae.